RNAcentral lists this ribosomal RNA (1647 nucleotides) under Placidium umbrinum. RNAcentral describes it as "partial 28S large subunit ribosomal RNA". It matches the Rfam family "Eukaryotic large subunit ribosomal RNA", at positions 40 to 1444 of the family's 3401-position model. The record is from RNAcentral. Lineage: Eukaryota; Fungi; Ascomycota; Eurotiomycetes; Verrucariales; Verrucariaceae.
AUAUCAAUAAGCGGAGGAAAAGAAACCAACCGGGAUUGCCCCAGUAACGGCGAGUGAAGCGGCAACAGCUCAGAUUUGAAAUCUGGCCCUCGCUCGGAGGGUCCGAGUUGUCAUCUGCAGAGGAUGCUUCGGGCAACGCCGCGCUCCAACCCGCUUGGGACAGCGGGCCGCAGAGGGUGAGAGUCCCGUCCAGGACCGCGUGCCGCCCCCGUGUGAAGCUCCUUCGACGAGUCGAGUUGUUUGGGAAUGCAGCUCAAAGCGGGUGGUAAAUUCCAUCUAAGGCUAAAUACGGGCCAGAGACCGAUAGCGCACAAGUAGAGUGAUCGAAAGAUGAAAAGCACUUUGAAAAGAGAGUUAAACAGUAUGUGAAAUUGUUGAAAGGGAAGCGCUGGCGACCAGAACCUGCGGGCGGCGGUUCCCCCGGUCCCCGUCGACCGGGCUCCUCCGUCGCCCCCAGGCCAACAUCGGUUCGGGUGGCCGGUGAAAGGCCCCGGGAACGUAUCUACCUCCGGGUCGACUUACAGCCCGGGGUGCCAUGCGGCCCACCCGGACCGAGGAACGCGCUGCGGCGAGGAUGUUGGCGUAAUGGUGGUCAGCGGCCCGUCUUGAAACACGGACCAAGGAGUCUAACAUCCAUGCGAGUGUUUGGGUGUCAAACCCCCGGCGCGGAAUGAAGGUGAACGGAGGUGAGAGCCCCGGCCGGCGACGGCGGGGGCGCAUCAUCGACCGAUCCGGAUGUCUUCGGAUGGAUUUGAGUAAGAGCAUGGCUGUUGGGACCCGAAAGAUGGUGAACUAUGCCCGGAUAGGGUGAAGCCAGAGGAAACUCUGGUGGAGGCUCGCAGCGGUUCUGACGUGCAAAUCGAUCGUCGAAUCUGGGUAUAGGGGCGAAAGACCAAUCGAACCGUCUGGUAGCUGGUUCCUGCCGAAGUUUCCCUCAGGAUAGCAGUAACGGAAGCAGUUUUAUGAGGUAAAGCGAAUGAUUAGAGGCCUUGGGGUUGAAACAACCUUAACCUAUUCUCAAACUUUAAAUAUGUAAGAAGUCCUUGUUGCCCCGGUGAACGUGGACCUUCGAAUGCGUCGUUACUAGUGGGCCAUUUUUGGUAAGCAGAACUGGCGAUGCGGGAUGAACCGAACGCGGGGUUAAGGUGCCGGAAUGCACGCUCAUCAGACACCACAAAAGGUGUCAAUGCAUCCAGACAGCCGGACGGUGGCCAUGGAAGUCGGAAUCCGCUUAGGAGUGUGUAACCUGUUGCACGCGAUCGGUUCUAAAAGAAUAUCUUUAGAACUCAGCUCAAACCCCCCCCCAUUUGUGGGAGGAGGGGGGGGAGCGAUGGCUCUACUCAAACUGGGAUCUAUAAUGGUGACCGGUUGUAGGUCGUUUUGACCUAUCGACAGACUAAAAGGAGCCGCUCACAGCGUUAAAAAAUCACCGUUGUGGGGAAGAUAUAGUCGAUCGUGAUCUCGGAUCGAGAAUCAGCAAGCGAGAACAACUCACCGGCCGAAUGCAUUGGCCCUGAAAAUGGAUGGCGCUUAAGCGUGCUACCUAUACCCCGCCGUCGGGGUUGAAAUGAGGCCCCGACGAGUAGGCAGGCGUGGGGGUCGGUGACGAAGCCUCGGGGGUGACCCUGGGUCGAACGACCCCCAGUG